UACGUAGGGGGCUAGCGUUGUCCGGAAUCAUUGGGCGUAAAGCGCGCGUAGGCGGCCAGAUAAGUCCGGUGUGAAAGUCACAGGCUCAACCUGUGAAUGCCGCUGGAAACUGUCUGGCUUGAGUCCGGAAGGGGCGAGUGGAAUUCCUGGUGUAGCGGUGAAAUGCGCAGAUAUCAGGAGGAACACCAAUGGCGAAGGCAGCUCGCUGGAACGGUACUGACGCUGAGGAGCGAAAGCGUGGGGAGCGAACAGG
RNAcentral lists this ribosomal RNA (253 nucleotides) under uncultured bacterium. RNAcentral's name for it is "partial 16S ribosomal RNA". It matches the Rfam family "Bacterial small subunit ribosomal RNA", at positions 524 to 776 of the family's 1533-position model. The record is from RNAcentral.